GAAGGUCAAUAACAGAGGUUUAUUUUAUUUAAUUGAGGUUGGUGUAACUGAUAUCAAAAAAUAGUAAUAAUUUGAAAAUCCCAUCAUAGUUGGCAAUUACAGGCAUAGGAAUAUUUCUAUGUCCAUGGUAGCAAUAGAGCAAAGGCAAUCCUUUAUUAAGCUAUUAUAUCGUACUUCAAAUAAUAGUUAGAUCUAUAAAUCGCCUUAAAGUUUUAUUACAGAACGUUUAUUACAGAAGUGCCGAAGAAUGCAAGUAGGAAAGAAACAUUUUGAAAUUGCUACGAAAUGGAUCCCAUCUGUAUUAACUUAUGGAGGAACAGCUGGUGUGGCACUGAUUUAUUUUACCGAUUGGAAAGUAGUAGCUAGAUACAUACCAUUUUAUGGAAGCAAAUUUGACAACUAAGUUGUAAAAUAUAUUUAUUGUAAUAUGUUAAUAAAUUAUAGUACUAUAUAA
Bombus pascuorum is the source of this 454-nucleotide long non-coding RNA. RefSeq lists it as uncharacterized. NCBI's taxonomy places the organism in Eukaryota, Metazoa, Arthropoda, Insecta, Hymenoptera, Apidae. The transcript has 2 exons. The record is from RefSeq and is a predicted model, not a curated record.